CCUGCCCAAGAGAUCGGGAUAACACCUGGAAACAGAUGCUAAUACCGAAUAACAACAGAUGAUGCCUAUCAACUGUUUAAAAGAUGGUUCUGCUAUCACUCUUGGAUGGACCUGCGGUGCAUUAGCUAGUUGGUAGGGUAACGGCCUACCAAGGCGAUGAUGCAUAGCCGAGUUGAGAGACUGAUCGGCCACAUUGGGACUGAGACACGGCCCAAACUCCUACGGGAGGCAGCAGCG
Molecule: ribosomal RNA, 237 nt
Filed under: uncultured Lactobacillus sp.
Lineage: Bacteria; Bacillati; Bacillota; Bacilli; Lactobacillales; Lactobacillaceae
Description: partial 16S ribosomal RNA
Rfam family: Bacterial small subunit ribosomal RNA
Source: RNAcentral